RNAcentral lists this ribosomal RNA (145 nucleotides) under uncultured Comamonadaceae bacterium. Its description in RNAcentral is "partial 16S ribosomal RNA". It matches the Rfam family "Bacterial small subunit ribosomal RNA", at positions 632 to 776 of the family's 1533-position model. The record is from RNAcentral. Lineage: Bacteria; Pseudomonadati; Pseudomonadota; Betaproteobacteria; Burkholderiales; Comamonadaceae.
ACUGCANGGGUGGAGUGCGGCAGAGGGGGAAGGAAUUCCGCGNGUAGCAGUGAAAUGCGUAGAUAUGCGGAGGAACACCGAUGGCGAAGGCAAUCCCCUGGGCCUGCACUGACGCUCAUGCACGAAAGCGUGGGGAGCAAACAGG